This 126-nucleotide ribosomal RNA is filed under the name Planomicrobium sp. CPCC 101079. RNAcentral describes it as "partial 16S ribosomal RNA". It matches the Rfam family "Bacterial small subunit ribosomal RNA", at positions 1416 to 1533 of the family's 1533-position model. Lineage: Bacteria; Bacillati; Bacillota; Bacilli; Caryophanales; Caryophanaceae. The record is from RNAcentral.
AACACCCGAAGUCGGUGAGGUAACCCUUGUGGAGCCAGCCGCCGAAGGUGGGACAGAUGAUUGGGGUGAAGUCGUAACAAGGUAGCCGUAUCGGAAGGUGCGGCUGGAUCACCUCCUUUCUAAGGA